Molecule: long non-coding RNA, 1628 nt
Organism: Fukomys damarensis (Damara mole-rat)
Lineage: Eukaryota; Metazoa; Chordata; Mammalia; Rodentia; Bathyergidae
Source: Ensembl
GCACAAUGGUGCUGCUUUGCAGCCUUGGGACUCCAAGAGGAGUUGUUCAGGGGAUUAGCAGCAUGGGCAUCACAAGGGAGCAUGUUAGAAAUGCAGAAUCCCAGGCCCCACCAGUUUGAGAAGCUCUGCCAAGUGCCCUGUACCUAUGGAAACCAUUAGCACUUGCUAGAGACUGGAAGCUGAACAAAUAGUGAAACCCAGGGAGCCACAGCAACCCCGACUGUAGGCCUACAAUCCAAUCACAAGAGGGGUAGAUUCCAUCCCAUCACUACCCAGCUGCCCCACGUCACCACUCACUCUUCUCAUUGCGGUGGGGCUGGCCAACUUGGCUGUGAAAUCUGAGGUUGGUGUUAGGGUGAGUUACUCAAAUAUUUGCACACACACUGAAAGGACAAGGACGACAGCAGGGGGUGGAUACAAUUAGAGUGGCUCUUUGCAGGUUGCAAAUCAAUUUUGAUACCCUCCCACCCUCCACACACUACACCUGUAUCAACAUGUUCCCCAGCUGCGAUGCAGCUAGCAAGCAACACCAACAGCACAAGGCAGGACUCUUCAAGCUGUUUCCAGAAUGUCCAACUAGUCUGGACUCUGUCAGAUCUUCCUCUGGGCAGGAAGUUGUCCUGGUCUGAGCUUCCCUUCCUACCGGAGCCCAGCAAGAGAAUCCCCACACAAAUCUAGAAUGGAGGAGAAAUGGAAAGAAGAGAAACUAAUGGCAAGUCAGUGAUGAGCUUGUGCUUUGCAGUCCAGAGAGAAUACAAGCAGAACCCUACUUUCUUCUCAGGUGGCAGAGCACAAGAAGAACAGUGUAGAAGGAUGGAGAAGAGAAUUGGGAUCCACAAGAAGACACAAAAGGAGCCCAGCUGGACUCGCUGGAACAUUAAAUCUAUCAGGAAAGUGAAAGAUCUGCAGAUGAGCCUGCAGGCAAUCUGACCGGCUAUAAGAACAGAAGCGGAGACUUGACUAUUCUCACUUUUCCCAAGGAACCCGAAGCCACCACCCAAUGGAAGUGUCCUUUAUGAUAUAUAUGUUUCAUUCAGCAAAUGUUUAUCAAGCACUUAUACUGUGUCAGGCAUUGUUUUCAAUGCUUUGUAUGUAAGAGCACUAAAGGUGCUAAACUCCAACCUGUCCUCUGUCAAGGAUUCCUUAAGUUUGUUCUCUAAACACAAAAUCCCUGACUGCUAUCUCUCCUACACAAAUCUUUCUCAUCUUACAACAGCCAGAUUCAGACUUUGCACCUUCUUCCCUAGCGGCAGUUAGAGACACUUUUUCUGAGGAAAAGAAAAUGUAGUGCAGUAGUUUACUGUACUUUAGUUAUUAUGAGCAGGCAGCCAGAAAGGCUUAACUAGGGUAAAUAACAAAAUAAAAUAAAAUAGCCCACCAAGGUUAAGAGCAAAUUUAAACAGCUAAGCCAAGCUUAGAGAUGAGAAAAAGAAAGGUUGGGAUAAAUAUUAAAAAAAUAAGGGCUCUUCCCUCAAAAUGAAAACGAAAGCCAAAACUCUUAUCCAGAAUGUGCUAGCAGCUUUAACAGCUCCUCUUUAGCUCCAGAUCUAAAUCUAAUCUUUCAAAAAUUAAAAUACAAAAUAAUCAGUUUCUUUUUAAACUUGUCUUCUUUAAAACAAGCCCCUCCC